AAGGCCUUCGGGUUGUAAAGCUCUUUUGUCCGGGAAGAAACGGUGUGGGCUAAUACCUUGCGCUACUGACGGUACCUGAAGAAUAAGCACCGGCUAACUACGUG
This 104-nucleotide ribosomal RNA is filed under the name uncultured bacterium. Its description in RNAcentral is "partial 16S ribosomal RNA". The record is from RNAcentral.